RNAcentral lists this long non-coding RNA (1426 nucleotides) under Monodelphis domestica (gray short-tailed opossum). Its description in RNAcentral is "lncRNA (ENSMODG00000043945.1)". Lineage: Eukaryota; Metazoa; Chordata; Mammalia; Didelphimorphia; Didelphidae. The record is from RNAcentral.
CAUAAAUUCUACUUUGACAGUUCUUAUCUCUCUUUUAAACUAUUCAGAAUAUUCUGCUGUAAUUCCAUGGCAUCUUAGAAAUUUAUGGGACCUACUGUCCCAUUAGAUAUCUACUGAUUUUUCUUUGUCUUACAAAAUUUAUUCAUAGAUUUUGGGAUUCAUUUAACUAAUCUAGGUGCCACAUUUACUUCUGCUAUUAAUACAUUCAUUGUUGGUUUAUAUGCUUAUGUUUAAGGUAUUUAACUGAGUUCUUCCUUCUGAGAUCUUUGGUAAUAGAAUUCUCUGUUCCUUAUAUUUCCUUAUCAUUCAACUUCAGAUUCAUUCUCCCUGAUGAGUUUCCUCCAGGGCUAUAUCUCAAAACUAUCUCAGUCUCCUUGUAAUCCUAGGGAUUCAUUUUCACUGGCGAUCUUGGCUCAAGUGAUUUCUUGGGAUAUAGACCUGACCUCAGCUGGAUGUCAGUCCCCUUUCCUAAAGGCCUAGUGGAGUGCCACACACACACUGGUUUCUGCCCCAUUUCCCUCUAUUCCUUUGUUUUCUGAGUUCUGUUACAGCAUGUGGCAUUGCUAUAAAGCCAUCUAGCCAAAACAUGCUUUUGCUUUCUUUCUUUCUUCCCUCUUUUCUUUCUUUCUUUCUUUCUUUCUUUCUUUCUUUCUUUCUUUCUUUCUUUCUUUCUUUCUUUCUUUCUUUCUUCCUUCCUUCCUUCCUUCCUUCCUUCCUUCCUUUCUUCUUCUUCUUUCUUCUUCUUCUUCCUUCCUUCUUCUUUCUUCUUCUUUCUUUCUUUCUUUCUUCCUUUCUUUCUUCCUUUCUUUCUUUCUUUCUUUCUUUCUUUCUUUCUUUCUUUCUUUCUUUCUUUCUUUCUUUCUUUCUUUCUUUCUUUCUUUCUUUCUUUCAUACAGACCUCUGAUUUCAUUGUGUAAGAAUAUUCAGGGGUGGAACUCUCACAAAAGAAAUUCUCUCUGCCAAUGCAAAUAGACACUUGUCCCACAAAGAGGCAUUUAUUCUAGUCCUAAUGAGUUGCUUAGGGACAUGGAAAUGUUAAGUUACUUCUCCUGAGUCAUACAGUUAGUGAACCAAGUGAAGAGUGGAACCCAAAUAUUUUUGAGACUGAGACCAGGACUUUCCCCCUCAAACUAGUCUUUUUCAUCAUUCCUUAGAGCAAAAUAAUAUUUCAUCAUAUUCAUAAAAUUUAUUCAGCCAUUCCCCAUUCAUUGGGCAAAUAAUUUGUGUAUAGUUUUGUUUUGUUCUAACUUUUAUCUUCCAACUUGGAAUCAAUACUCUAUAAUGGUUUCAAGAAAGAAGAGUAGUGAGGGUUAUGCAACUGAGAUUAAGUGACUUGCCCAGGGUAAUACAGCUAGGAAGUGUCUAAAUCCUGAUUGGAACCUAAGAACUCCUGUCUCUGGCUCACAAUUCACCUAUAGCUUUUUAC